Molecule: ribosomal RNA, 497 nt
Filed under: uncultured bacterium
Lineage: Bacteria
Description: partial 16S ribosomal RNA
Rfam family: Bacterial small subunit ribosomal RNA
Source: RNAcentral
GAUGAACGCUGGCGGCGUGCCUAAUACAUGCAAGUCGAGCGAACAGACGAGGAGCUUGCUCCUCUGACGUUAGCGGCGGACGGGUGAGUAACAUGUGGAUAACCUACCUAUAAGACUGGGAUAACUUCGGGAAACCGGAGCUAAUACCGGAUAAUAUAUUGAACCGCAUGGUUCAAUAGUGAAAGACGGUUUUGCUGUCACUUAUAGAUGGAUCCGCGCCGCAUUAGCUAGUUGGUAAGGUAACGGCUUACCAAGGCAACGAUGCGUAGCCGACCUGAGGGGGUGAUCGGCCACACUGGAACUGAGACACGGUCCAGACUCCUACGGGAGGCAGCAGUAGGGAAUCUUCCGCAAUGGGCGAAAGCCUGACGGAGCAACGCCGCGUGAGUGAUGAAGGUCUUCGGAUCGUAAAACUCUGUUAUUAGGGAAGAACAAAUGUGUAAGUAACUAUGCACGUCUUGACGGUACCUAAUCAGAAAGCCACGGCUAACUACGUG